RNAcentral lists this ribosomal RNA (587 nucleotides) under uncultured Zoogloea sp. RNAcentral describes it as "bacterial SSU rRNA". It matches the Rfam family "Bacterial small subunit ribosomal RNA", at positions 338 to 916 of the family's 1533-position model. Lineage: Bacteria; Pseudomonadati; Pseudomonadota; Betaproteobacteria; Rhodocyclales; Zoogloeaceae. The record is from RNAcentral.
CCUACGGGAGGCAGCAGUGGGGAAUUUUGGACAAUGGGCGCAAGCCUGAUCCAGCCAUGCCGCGUGAGUGAAGAAGGCCUUCGGGUUGUAAAGCUCUUUCAGACGGAAAGAAAUCUCUUGGGUUAAUACCCUGGGAGGAUGACGGUACCGUAAGAAGAAGCACCGGCUAACUACGUGCCAGCAGCCGCGGUAAUACGUAGGGUGCGAGCGUUAAUCGGAAUUACUGGGCGUAAAGCGUGCGCAGGCGGUGAUGUAAGACAGAUGUGAAAUCCCCGGGCUCAACCUGGGAACUGCGUUUGUGACUGCAUCACUCGAGUACGGCAGAGGGAGGUGGAAUUCCGCGUGUAGCAGUGAAAUGCGUAGAUAUGCGGAGGAACACCGAUGGCGAAGGCAGCCUCCUGGGCCAGUACUGACGCUCAUGCACGAAAGCGUGGGGAGCAAACAGGAUUAGAUACCCUGGUAGUCCACGCCCUAAACGAUGUCAACUAGUUGUUCGGUGAGGAGACUCAUUGAGUAACGCAGCUAACGCGUGAAGUUGACCGCCUGGGGAGUACGGCCGCAAGGUUAAAACUCAAAGGAAUUGACGG